GAUUUUAGAUUGAAUUCUGAAAUUUUUUUUGUACCCUCAAACAUUAAUUGUGGUUUGAAUUUUUAUCCUUGCCUUAGAAAGUGUGGGAUAAUUCAUAUUACAAUGAUUGGUUGCAUUCAAGUUGGGGAGAAAAGGUUGGUUUCUAUGAGGUUGAUAAAGAAAAAUAUUUAAAAAAAAUAAAUAAAGAAAAGGAAAGGAAAAUAAAGCAAACAGAAAAAAGAUUGAAAAAAAAAGAAAUAGCAAAUAGAUUUUGUGCUAAUAAGUUGUGUGCAAUGGUGUAACAAUUGAGCAAUGAGAAGAAGAUGAAUGAAAUUUGUGAAUGCUUAAGAUUGUGAGAAAU
Molecule: long non-coding RNA, 340 nt
Filed under: Lathyrus oleraceus (garden pea)
Lineage: Eukaryota; Viridiplantae; Streptophyta; Magnoliopsida; Fabales; Fabaceae
Description: Pisum sativum (pea) long non-coding RNA (PSAT_LNC008267)
Source: RNAcentral